CGCGUAGGUGGUUUGAUAAGUUGGAUGUGAAAUCCCCGGGCUUAACCUGGGUCGGUCAUUCAAAACUGUCAGACUAGAGUAUGGUAGAGGGUAGUGGAAUUUCUAGUGUAGCGGUGAAAUGCGUAGAUAUUAGAAGGAACACCAGUGGCGAAGGCGACUGCCUGGACUGAUACUGACACUGAGGUGCGAAAGCGUGGGUAGCGAACAGGAUUAGAUACCCUGGUAGUC
Molecule: ribosomal RNA, 228 nt
Filed under: uncultured bacterium
Lineage: Bacteria
Description: partial 16S ribosomal RNA
Rfam family: Bacterial small subunit ribosomal RNA
Source: RNAcentral